This 9819-nucleotide long non-coding RNA is filed under the name Gossypium barbadense (sea-island cotton). Its description in RNAcentral is "long non-coding RNA (GBAR_LNC017724)". The record is from RNAcentral. Lineage: Eukaryota; Viridiplantae; Streptophyta; Magnoliopsida; Malvales; Malvaceae.
CAAAGGGUUGGAGCCGAUCCAGUUUAAAGGGUUGUUAGCCUUGUGGCAAAAAGAGGAGACUCAUCUGGAAAAGGGAUUUUAGAAAUUUCAACCGACAGUAGUGCAAAAGGAAAUAUGGGGGAGGUUUUUGGGCAGCGACCGAUGAUCGUGACUAGUAAAACCAGUGAGAACACGGGACAAAAACCAAUGGGAAUGAUGGAAGAAGAACACCUAUCCCUUUUUAUGGUCGUGGUGAUUGAAGAUAUUGUUCAGAAUCUUAGCCAUGAGGUUGCGAGAGAUGCAGCGAGAAUAGGAAAAGACAAGGAGACGUUUGGAUCGAACGAUGAGACAUUGGCGGACACAGAGACGGCGUGAUUAGGUUGGUAGUUUUCAAAUUUUUCCUCCUUUUGCUAAUGGUAUUUCCAAAUUUUAGAAUAUUUUUCUGGAAUUGUCAACCAAACCAAACUUAGUUGCAUUGUUUGAAAUAAGAAUCAGUAAGAAUAAGACGAAUUUGAUUAUUGUUAAGUUGAGGUUUGAAAACUCCUUUUGGGUUGAAGUUGUGGGGUUCGUAAGGGGAAUUUGGUUACUGUGGAAUGACGAGGUUGAAAUUGAUAUACUGAAGGUUCACUUACAAUUUGUCCACAUGAGAAUUUGAGUCAACUGAAACCAUCGUACUUUUAUGUGCACUGCCAUUUAUGCUAGCCCUCAAUGGAAAAGAAGGGUGCAGUAAUGGAAUAGCUUGGGGGAGAUAGAAGUUGGAUUUGAAGAGUUGUGAUUGUUUUUCGGAGACUUUAACACCAUCUUGAGUUAUGAUGAAAGACAAUGAGGGAGAAAAUAACGUAGUGUAGGCUAUAGCAGAUUCAAUUCUUUCGUUUCUCAGUAGAAUUCAUCUGAUUUGGGUUUUCAGGGGUCCAUGUAUACUUAGAGCAGGAGGAGCCUUUUCCAAAGGUUGGAUCGGGCGCUUUGUAAUGAUCGUUGGCUAACAAUGAUGCCCAAUACAUUUGUCUGUCAUUUGCACAAGCUGAAAUAUGAUCACCAACCAGUUCUCAUGUCAAUUAAUGAAGUAAUAGGAAAAGAGGGGGAGAGACCCUUUUGGUUUCUAGCUAGCUGGCUAGUUUAUCCUAAAUUUCAUUAUAGUCACUAAAUCAUGGAGAGUUGAAGCCGACAUUGGAGAAAAUUUUGGAAACUUUACGCAACUGGUCCAAUAAUGGAAUAAAGUUGUCAUUGGUAAUAUUUUUGCACGGAAAAGAAGAUUGAUGAAAAGGUUAGACGAUGUCUAAAGAGCAUUGGAGCGUUGUAAUUCGUUACUAAUAAAAUAGAGGGAAGUAGACAUCCGAUCUGUACCAAGAGGAAUUGUUGUGGUUUCAAAAGUCCCAUUGUGAUUGGCUCACUAAUAGGGACCAUAACACAAAAGUCUUUCAUAGUCGCACCUUAAAAAAGUGAAGGCAGAACAGGAUAAAAGCUUUGAAAAUCGAUAGUAAUGAAUGGUGCCAUGAUAAUGAACUUCUAAAAAGGCAUGUUAUUGAACAUUUUUCCAAACUGUAUACAGUAGACAACUAUUCGAUCGGUGAUUUUUUGGUCAAAGAGUGCUUUCCGAGUUUGGGAGAUGAUCUUUUGGGUGUCUUCACUUUUGAGAUAGUAUGGCACCGUUUAAAGCUCUUGGAAUUGACGAGAUUCAUGCCAAGUUUUAUCAAGUUAGUUGGGCCAUUACCGGUGAAAGUGUUUAUAAACUGGUGAUAAAUGUCUAUUUGGGAGGGACCUUGAAUUCAAGUAUUAACAAAUCGUUGCUGGUCCUCAUCCCUAAAAACAUCGGUGCAAAAAUGAUAUGUCAGUUAGACUGAUCAAUUUGUCUAUUGUGUUGUACAAGAUCAUCAGCAAAUCAAUUGUGAUUCAACUUCGAUGGCUCAUGCAAGUCUUGGUCAAACAAAAUCAGUCUAGUUCCAUACCGUCACGCAAUAUUUCAGAUAAUUUCAUCAUUGCUCAAGAGGCAAUUUAUACAAUGAAGAACACUAAGAGUAAGAAGGGAUUGACGGUAGUGCAGGUUGAUCUAGAGAAAGUUUAUGAUCGGGUCCAAUAGGACUUUCUGAAAGACACGCUGACUGAUGUUGGCUUUUCGAAAUCCUUUGUGAGACUCAUUAUGAGUUGCAUUUCCUCGUCAUCCAUGCAAUUGCUUUGGAAUGGUUCUCUAACUGAGUCGUUCAUUCCAACCAGAGGUGUGCGCUAGGGAGAUCCUCUAUCUCCGUAUCUUUUCAUUUUGGGAAUGGAACGAUUAGGACAUUUGAUUGAAUCAAAUAUAGAACAGAAGCUAUGGGAACCUCUUAUUCUCUUGUAGAAGCCUUGGGGUGUCCUAUAUUUUCUUCGUAGACGGUUUAGUUCUCUUUUGUAGAGCGGACAAUAAGGAAGUAGGAUGUCUCAAAAAGGUUCUUAAUACUUUCUAUCAUUUAUCUAGGCAUUGGGUUAAACAGCAAAAGACCCAGGUUUUCUUCUCUAGUAAUGUGACGAAGGAGGAAAUGGUAAGGCUUUGUGCUAAGCUCGACUUUAUUAGAGUAAGAUAUUUUGAGAGAUAUCUAGGAAUGCCUUUUUUUCAUGACAAAGUUGGGAUUAACACUUUCCAGUUCAUCAUUGAUAAAGUCAAUAGUCAGCUUAAUGGAUUGGACGUUCGCAAGCUUUCUCUAGUUGGAUGGCUCAUCUUGGUUAAGUUUGUGUUGUUGGUGAUUCCUAAUUAUUUUAUGGCUAUUGCAAAAAUUUUCAUUACAAUAUGCAAAUAAAUUAAUAAGUUGGCUCACGGUUUCUUGUGGGGGUCAUCUUCUUUAGGUUAAAAGACAUCUUUUAUUAGUUGGAACGAUUGUUGUAAGUCUAUAAAGAAUGGGGGUUUGGGAUAUGACAGUUACAUGCUUAGAAUAAGCUUUUCCUUUUGAAGCUCGGUUUCAGUUUGAUUGCAAAUAUAGAUGUCUUAUGGGUCAGGGUGUUACGAAAUCAAUAUAGCAUCUAUAGCUUAAUUUUGAAUGAUAUUCAUUGUUCUAGUUGUUCUUAUCUAUGGCAAUCUUUAUCUAAGGUUUGGGAUGAGGUGAAGAAGGGGCCCAUUUGGGCUGUUGGUUAACUUUUGAAAUGAUGAUUGGCUGAAGGAGAUGAAGCACUUGAAGCAACACUAUAUCGACUAUGGAAUCCUAGAUGAGACAAUCUCAGUUUGUGAUGUUAUUGUAUCAGAUAAUGUACGGAAUUUACAGUUGGAAGAUAGCACCUACAUGCUCUAGAGUGGGUUAAAGUCAACGUGGAUGGAUCGAUUUCAAGAAAUAUCACGAAGGCAGUAAUUGUCGGGGUGAUUAGAAGACCAAGUGGAGGGUGGUUGGAGGGCUUCAAAAUGUCAACAAGUGUGAAAAAUAUUUUUCAAUUUGUUGGGUUAUAAACUUGUACUUGGCUCAAGCCAUACAUGGGUUAUUUUAUUUGCUAUAACAAGUAGUUGGGUUAUAAACUUAUACUUGGCUCAAGUUAUAAAUGGGUUAUACUACAAGCACAACUCCAUAACCCAACUUCCUCAAAUGCUGCAAAAUCUUCAAAAUAUUAUUUGCCUUGAUGGCGUACCCAAUAAUGGAAUUAUUCUAGCCUUCAAGAGCCUCCUUAUAAGCUUCCACAUUCCCUGUAAUCCAAAGCUUACUAUACAAAUAAAAAAAUCAUUUUUUUCACUUUUUCCAUGAUGUCUCGAACCUUGGUAUCUUCACAGUAGAGAAACCCAUCAAGGGAUUUUGUGAAGUAGAGUUGAAAAGUGAGGUUGAGGGUCUUAACAGGGUUCUAGGAGAGCAUAGCUUUGAGGGAGAGAGAGUGGGAAGAGAUUUUUGGAGGGCCUGAGGGGCAAAACAAGUAGUCGAGAAAAUAGGUUUUGUGUCAAAGGAUAGUUUAAGGUAUUGGAAAAUGAUGGCACAUGAGUAGUCGUCGCCAUUGAUGGUGAAAAGCAGCAACGUGUGCGUUUGUUAAUUGUUGGCGCCACAGAAAAAAUUGGUUUUCACUUUUGGGUUAAUUAGUGAAAAUAAUUAGUCUUGCUUAGGAGGAUUUCAAUUUUGUAAGAAGCAUUUUAAGAGGAGUGUGUAUUCGAUCAAUUCGGGUUUUAUAGAACUAAUAUGUACAAACUGAGAUAACUGAACGGAUUUGAAUAUAUUUUGCAGCGGUCUAAAAAACCUCCAAAGAAUAGUAUAAUCACGGCAACUCAAAAACCAUAAAAAAGGUACUUUUUUUUAGAAUGGACCUAAAAAAUUAGAUAAUUUAGUGGUACCUAUAUUUUUCGAAAGUUGGGUAUAUAAGUUGAGAAAUGACAAGCUAAUUUGGUAUUGAUUGUCCAAGCGAUAUUGAUAUCGCUUGAGAGAAUUAUCGAUACCACUCUUCUAGUAUUGAUAUCUACGUAACAGAUUUGGUAAAUUUUGUUAAAUGGCCUUAAUGCAUGUUUAGUACUUAUUUUAUGUUUAUUUAAUGAAUGCUUGAUAAAAAAAAGUAAAUGUAUGACUUACAAUUCACAUGAAUGCUAUGUUAAUAAAAAAAACUGCAUACGUAAUAUCGUGAUAAUUUAAGAAGAACAUGAUGCGAGACAGUGGUGUAGUGUCUUAGUAUUCGAGCUUGGCAAUCGGGUCGGAUAUAAGGUGUUACAAUUGAAAAUUAACAUUAAUGCAUAUCUAAACAUAGGUAUAAGAAUAUGAUCCUUUAACCUUUUGAAUGGAAAAUUUAAAAAAAUUGAACAGAUUUGUGUUAGAUGUAUACUUGUCACACCCGGUUUUUUUUUAAGUUCAAAAAUUUGGAAUAAUUGGGGGUUAAAUUAAAAGAAACCAAAAGUUAAUGGUUUUUAUUGAAAGUCAAGAAAAAUUUAGUGGCUGAUUUGGAUAUAGUUAAAUUCCAACUCUGGUGUGGUUGGAUGAGAAUCGAUUAGUUUGUUAAUGGGAGACAAAAUGAUUACCAAUAGAUGAUUUCAAUAGGGUUAAUAAUCAUGCGUAAAGGGCUAUAAAUAGUUGAGAAAUAAAUCCCCAGGGUGAGUUAUUCUCUAUUUUGUUUUGUUUUGUUUUGUUUUUCAUCUUUUUCUUUGGUUGCUCCGAAGAAGAGAUAAUUACAGGGAGCUCUGCAUGGAGUGACAAUCAAGAGGUUUGAGUUAUAAAAGUAGAGAAUCCAAUGAAUUGGUAAGGUUCUAAGUCCUUCAGUGUUAGUAGGAUUAAGAAAUAAAGUUAAGAAUUUUCAGAACCUUUGAGAGGUUCUGCAUGUUUUUGGAAACUGAGUUUUAAGCUAGAAUGCUAAGUUUAAUUUAUGAUUUUGGUUGUCUUGCUUAGCUUCUAGGAGAAUGAAAGCUCUAGCAUUUGGAAAAGCUAAAAUAAGGUGGCAGAGAAACAUCAAGUGAGUUCCUGUACUCCAUUAUUGGGAUGUUGUGUAGUUGGCACAAAUCUGUGUUCAGUUUUGUGAUAAUGUAUAGUCUCUACUGAUUGAGAAUGCUAAGCAUGUAUAAGAUUGUAUAGGUAUAUGAGUAUCCACUAAUGUAGUUCACCAUGCAUGAAAUAAUUAUGAUUUCAUAUCUAAAUGAUAGAGUACUUGUAACACCCCUAACUUGUAUUCAUCGUUGGAAGGUUACUGAGCAUUACCGGGAAACCAUAACUUAAAAACUUUUAUUCUUAAACAUUUCAUAUAUCAUAGCAUAAUUCAUUCAAACAUAUGCAUAAUGUCCCUUAUUCAAGCCCUCGGUGCUUUAGAAUCACUUUAGAAACAAUUUGGGACUAAAUCAGAAACAUUUAUAAUUUCAUAGAAAAAGAUAAAUUUUUUUCAAACUAUAGGGUUCACACGGCCGUGUGGCCAAGUUGUGUGAUUCACACGACUAAGACACACGCCCGUGUCUCAGGCCGUGUAACAUUUGAAAUAGGGACACAUGGUCGUAUCUCAGCCCGUGUCUGUGCCCGUGUAACUUACCAACUUGUCCCACACGGCCAAGCCGCAUGCCUGUAUGCCAGGCCGUGUAACACUCGAAAUGGCCUCACACGCCCGUGUGUCAGGCUGUGUGCUGGGCCAUGUAACUAGCUUACUUGAAACUUUUAGAAAUUAUAGGGGACACACGACCGUGUCACAUGGCCGUGUGUCACACAUGACUGAGACACAUGCCUGUGUCUUAGGCCGUGUGGACAAGAAAAUGACCACUUUCAAGCCAUUUUUUCACCCCUUUCAAGCAUGAACCUACAAGAAAUUUGUACAUGUAUACAAGGCCUUUAAACUUACUCAAAUUAUGCAAAGAAUUAUUAAUCUCCAUACCAAAUGUUCAUACAAUCAAUAUGCCAAAAGACACCUCAAUCAUCAAGCAUCAAACUUAUAUAUAUACAUGAGCAUAUUAGUUCAAACCUUAACCAUACAUACCUAAUUAAUCUCAAUACUAUUUCCAUGCUAUAUCAAAAAUAAUCUCACCACAUUUGACCACAUUUAUACCAUUUACCAACUGAUUUGUUACCAACUGAUUUGUUACCAACUUAUAUAUAUACAUGAGCAUAUUUGUUCAAACCUUAACCAUACAUACCUAAUUAAUCUCAAUACUAUUUCCAUGCUAUAUCAAAAAUAAUCUCAGCACAUUUAACCACAUUUAUACCAUUUACCAACUGAUUUGUUUCCAUACCAAUACAUAACACAAUUGACACAUACCAAUCUUACCAUAUUAGGCAUACCAUAUUUUAGUCAUGCACAUCUAUUCAAGACUUCUCCAAAACAUACCAUGUCUUGGCCAUAUUGAGAUUGAUACAGCAUUUACCAAAUUUGGUUAUUUCUAAACAUGCAUCAAAUUGAUCAUAUUAACCAUAACCAAUAAGAUACCAAUAGUACCUUGAGUACAUCAAAUUCAAGGCAACAUUUCAUGCCAUAAUUAUCAACCAAAAUGACAUAUAUAUACCAAACUCAUCAAUUAAACAUUAGACAUAAUUCACCUAUACAUGCCAUUAUAACAUUAACCAAUACAUCAAAAUUUACCGAUAUAAUCGUUGGUGUAAUGGCCCAAAUUCAAAAUUAUCGGAAUAGUGGUUUCGUAACCACAAAUCCGAUUUAAAGAGAAAUUUAUUUUAAUAUUUUUGCAUGAAUAUUGAUAUGAUAGGAAAAAUCGUAUGAAAAUAUCGAUAGAAAAAUUUUACUGAUUAAGUGGUUAGUUAGAAAAAAGAAAUUAUUGAAGGAAUUAGGUAAAAAUAAGAUAUCGAGACUUUGAUCUCGUAAAACCGAGUCAAAAAUAUUUUUAUAAAUAUUUAUGAAGUGUUAGUAAUAUGGUAUUAAAAUUUCGUUAGAAAAAAUUCAUGUUUGGGUAGUCAAUUAAGUGAAAAGGACUAAAUUGAAAAAAAUGUAAAAGUUACUAGAGGGAUUAAAUAGCUCAAUUGUGGAAUGAGGAGGGACAUAUAACCCCAAAAUGAGAUAUUUUGGGCGGCAUACGCUGAGAAAAAUCAGGAGAAUUGAAGAAAUAAGGGUAAAAUUGGAAUAUUACAAAAUUUGCUUUAAAAGUUAGGACUAAAGUGGAAUUAUCUAGAUUUCUCUUUAAUUUUCUGCACUCUCAUCAGCCAAAAACGUCCUAAGGGUUUCUUCAAGUUGGUUUUUCAUAAAUUUUGGACCAAGUGAGUUAAUUCUUGCCUUUUUCUUGUAAUUUUUGCGUUUCUAAGACUUUUACAACUAGGUCCUAUUACUUAAUUCAUUAGUUUUUGAUUUUAGGAAUGAUAUUGAAAGUUGAUAUGAAUAUGUGCUGGAAGUUUAUGAGGAAAUAGGAUGAAAUUGAUGCUUUAAUUUGUUUAUGAGAUGAUUUUAUUAGGUAAUUCCAAUAGAAAUUGAUUUGUAGGACCUAAUUGUAAAAAGGUUUGGAAUUAAAAUUUAGUGCUGAAAUUCUGAUUUCCAAAGGUUAUAAGGUAGUUUAAAGUGAUAUAAUAAAGUGUUUAUUGAGAAAAAUCAGCUCAAUUGAGAGCUUAAUUGAGUAGGGACGAAAUUAUCAUUGUUGAAAGUUUAGGGGAAAAAUGGUAAUUAACACCAUGCACUAAAACAGUUUUGGACAGCAGCAGUACUCUAACUUUAAAAAAUCACCAAAAAUUGUAGAGAUCGAAUUAGAGGAUGAAUAAAAUAUGAAAUCAAAGCUUAUUGAGUUUAGUUUCUUAUAAAAGAAACGGUGUAAGUAAUGGAAUUGUAAAUCAUGAAAUAUAAUAGAUUUUGUGAGACAAGGUCAGAAUGAAUUCGGGUUCCCCUGUUCUGAAUUUGGAAAAUCAUUAAAAAUUGUACAAAAAUGAUUGAGUUAUAAUUUAUAUGCUUAGAAUCCUUAAUGAGUCUAUUUUCUGAGGAAAUAAAGGGAAGCAUCAUCCUAAUUCUGUACAGUGAGAUAAUUAAUUUUUAGUGAAGAGGGGUCAGAACUAUCAUACAGUGAAACAGGGGAAACUUUAAAGAAUAAACUGUACUUAUUGGCUAAACCAAAAAUUCUAAAAUUUUUAUGGUAAGAAGAUAUGUGAGUCUAGUUUCAGGGAAAAUUAACGGAUCUUAAUUUGAAGUUCUGUAGCUCAAGAUAUAAAUAAUUUAGUGACUGUGACUCAGUGAGGCAGCUUUGAAUGCACUAUAAAUAAUAAUGAAAUUGUAGAGAAAGUUACAUAUGAACAUGAAAUGUAUUAGAUUAAUGAUUAAAUUUAUUUAUUUAGAUCCGGAAAAUUCAAAUACGAAGCAAGAUCGAGGAAAAGAAAAAGUUCGGGAUUAGUAGAUUUUUGUUUACGAACAAUUGUCGAGGUAAGUUCAUGUAACUUGAAUUAUAUUCAUAAAUGCUUGAAAUGUUUGUUAUUGAUGUGAAUAUGAUUUGGAUGUUUAAUGUAUGAUAAUUGAUGAAGUAUUGAUAUUCUUGAUGAAAAGAGGAAAUAAAUCCCGGUUAAAUGAAAGGAAAAAUUCGAUGGAUCUUUGAAAAAGGAAUUGACGGUAAAAAGGAUCUAGCCCGGACGGGUGAUCCUAUCCUGAUAUAGCCCUCCCGAAGAAUAUGUGGAAAAUAGAUUUAGCCCGGACGGGUAAUCCGAAUUAGGGUCUGAAUUUAGCCUGGACUGGUAAUUCAGAUCCAAGCUCAUUAGAGUAAUUGUCGUUGCAGGGGAUUUAGCCUGGACUGGUAAUCCCGACAAUACUCUAUGAGUUUAUAUUACAGGGGAUUUAGCCUGGACUGGUAAUCCUGCUGUAAGGAUGAGGUUCGCGGGAGUGUGCUCUCUGAAAUGGAAAUGUGCGCACAUGAAUAUGAAUUGACGGACCCGGAUUUGUACACUAAAGUGUACCUCUGAAAAUCCAUCGAAAUUCCAAGUAAUUCAACGGGAUAAAUAUGGAAAAAUAACAAGGAAAUGGAAAUCAUGGAAUUGAUGAGCUCAUCAAUCAUUUAUUUUUGUAAUGAAUUUGCAUGAGGUUGAGUUUGUAUGUGAUAGGUAUAUGUUUAUGUGAAUUGGAUGUGUGCUUGUGUUAUUAAAUGAUGGAUGUAUAAGUAUGGUAAGUAUAAUUCCUGUUGCAUGAACUUACUAAGCACAAAGUGCUUACCCUGUUUCUUUUUCCCCUGUUUGUAGAGUUAAGAGCUCGGAGGUCGGAUUUGGUCAGAGACACAUCACACUAUCAAUCUCGAGAUCUCGGUACAUAAAGGAACUUAUUUUGGAAAUCAAUGGCAUGUAUAAGCUAGUAAAUUAGAUGUUAAUGUUAAAUGAAUUUAUGGUUAGCCAUUGGUAUGGCUAACAAAUUUUGGUUUUGGUAUGUGAUGAAAUUAUCUUAUGAAUAUGAUAAAUCUAUCUUGAAAAAAAAAUUCGGUAAAAUCUGGUAAUGCCUCAUACUAUAUUUCAGCGACGAAUACGGGUAGGCGGUAUUACAUUUGUU